AAGUGUUUUCACUCUUUAUUACAAGCAGAAUGACAAUACAGUGCUUUGCCCUCAUUUGCUACAGACAGGCUGGCAAAAAGUCAACAGGUGAACUUUUAAAAUCUUUUAUCCAAAACAGAAAAAAAGUAAUUUCUCAAAACCUGUUUAGUAAUACAAACAGUGCCGUACUAAAAAGGUAUGAUAUGAAGUGUGCUGCUCAGAGCACAGAAGUCGACAUAUCAGACCUUUGCCAAGCUCAGGAGUGACAAGAUGAGCACCUGCUGUUGUGCUGAUGGACUUAGAAAAAAGCAGUUUGACAUUCUGAUCAGCAGUAGAAGGCUGGUGUGAUAAAUCCAUUGCGACAGAGCUGACACAUACAGACAGUUCAUUCCUAGUCAAGUUAUUUGGUCACUUCUUUUUUUCCCCUCCCCUUCUCACCCAAUACAAUCUUGUUAGAAAAAUAACUUGUGAGGAAGAGUGAACCAUAAACCCCAGCUGACAAGACAAGACCUGGUUUUGAAUGGUCAAACAGAUCUGUUGUAAAACAAAGUGCACUGUGUAUAACUAUUGGUAAAUCUAAUGAAUCUUAGUUUUUUCCUCUCGUUUUGGUUACAAACUCGACCACAUACUCUAGCAUAGAGUUAAAAUAUAGUCUUCUCUCUGAGAUACAAAAGUAGCAAAAAAAAUAUACACAAUGGACAACACAAAAAUUGACUAAGUGGUGAAAAUUUGAAAUGUGGAGGAAUUUGCUACUAAACAUGUCUGAAUUACAACAAAUGCUUCCCCGUCAUAUCACAAAAGUUACAUUAUUAUUGUAGAAUAUGACAUUUAGACUAUGUCUCGAUACGGUAUGGCAACGGCACAGUGAGGUGGGACACUGUGUUACAAGCACCAAGUACGUUCCUUUUAUCGCUGAGGUCGGGAUGUUGAGCCCCUCCACACCUGUGGAGGCUUGUGGAGUGAAAACUGAAAGGAAGAGUCCAGAUUAAUGAUUUUAUACAUAUUGGCAAAUGGUGAUGUGUAUGAAACCGUAUAAAUGUAUAAAAAAAAAAAAAGAAGAAGAAAAUCUCACAUUCAUGACUUCCAGAGUCAGUAACUUGCUAUGUAACCCAACAAAAUUCAGAUUUUUAGAAAUGCAGAAAAAGAGGUUCACCGAAAAUGAGCUACAAUCUUCAGCUGGAGGACGUGAUGGACAAAUCACUUCAACAUUCUCAUUGAUUUGAUUGUGACAUCGCCGAUUCAAGUCUCCCACCUUCUUACAAGAAAUGAAAUCUAUCCAACACCCCUUCUCACCACAAUAUAGAUCAAUAUUGUUUUUUUAAAUUUACAUCCACACAUCAAUAGUGACUGACAUCAAUAAUUUUCGAACAGUACAAAAAAAGAAAAAAAAAAAAAAAGCCUCAUGGAAUUAUGUGACACAGAGACAGCCCCUUAUAACGUGACAACAUUAGCAUUCUUACGUUAACUUUUGCAUAACACGGAGCACAGCAGCAAACACACGAGCACAAUGCAACAGGGAGGAGUAGCAAGUCAUUUAGGACAUCCACAAACAAACACGCAAACAAGUCCCAGGCUGCUGCUGUUACCCUGCACAACCACGUGGUGGCAGGAGAGGGUGCAGUUUUGCUAACUGUUCAGGGAAAAGGAAAAAAAACAAAACACAAGUGCCAUGAAAGGUUUGGUGAUGAAUGAUGUCUGGGACAAAGAGGGAUGUGGAACAACUGAGAGAAGAAUAAAUCAGCAUGCAGAGAGAGAUCUGACAUGCUACGCUGACAGAUAAGGGAAACAAAGCUCGACACAAUUGUGAGGGUAAAAGAAAGUAGGAGGAAUAAUAGACUCAUUGUACUGUAUAUAUUUAUAUCUAUGCUCUUUGAACCUCCUUGUACUCUCACAAAUGUGUUUAAAGUGACCACAUAUAAUCAGUUUAAAAGGGAAAAAAAGGGCAUCUAUGAAUUAAGGCAGGGUGGCUAAAAUACUGCACAUCCCUCUUCAGAUUUCCCCCGCCUCUCUCCUUCAGCUGAUGGUUGUGUGUAAGGCUUUGUAAAAACAUCACUUAUGCUUCUUUUUUUCCAGUUUUUCUAAAUCUAAACACCUUUCUCCUUUGGCUCCUAGCCUGCUGCUGUGUUGUUACCUGUAAGGCAAAGGUGUGUCACAUACAAACAUACAAUAAACAGGCAAAAUUCAUGCGUACUCACGCUCAUGCACACGCACGCACACCUAAAGGGCUGAGCUUGAAGGCUAUCCCCCUUACUUGGCCAGACCACAAAAUGUACAUAAAUGUUUCCGACAAACAUUUACAAAGAAGCGAAAAAAGGGGACGCAAAAGUGGAGGACCAGGCAAGAGUGUCAGACUGAAAAUGAGACGAGGAAAUACAAAAAGGUUCAACAGUUCAAACGGCACAGCUCCACAGUGCGAGAAGCAUUUUCGCACAUGGUUCUCCUUUUGCUCAUAAACUUUUUCAAGUAAGAGUCUGAGCAGGGAAUUUGCUGAAUCAAACCAAAAAAAAAAAAGAAAAAAAAAAUGAGACAAGUAUGUGAAUUAGGAGUAAGGGCAAUACUAUCUAAAGGGUUUUUCACUCAGGUGUAGCCCAAAAAUGCACAUGGUGAACUUAGCAUGGAGUGUCCAUGCUUCAGAUGUGUUUGAACAUGUCUGCGUUGUGUAAUUCACGGAUCUCUGAGAUGCAGAAGCUUCAGAGUCUGCAUCUGUGUUCACACUGAGGUUUCCGGCCCAGGAGCGUAGUAGGCGAACCCUGCCCCAGAGAGACGGAGCAUGUAAGGGCUGAGAGGACACAAUUCUGUCCCUCGGCUCUCUGCCAAAUGGGCCAGGAGUUUCUGGGGUAGAGGGUCAGACCUGCAGAGCGACAGUGACUCUGCGGUGCCAAGGUGGAGGUGAGAGGAGUCCGCGCUCGUGCCUUUGCAGGAUCGACAGAAGGACAGUGGAGUCACGGCCGCCACGCUACCCGGCAACAGCUUCUGAUGAUCCUGCACAAAAACAG
Molecule: long non-coding RNA, 2975 nt
Organism: Astatotilapia calliptera (eastern happy)
Lineage: Eukaryota; Metazoa; Chordata; Actinopteri; Cichliformes; Cichlidae
Source: Ensembl